UACAGAGGGUGCGAGCGUUUAAUCGGAAUUACUGGGCGUAAAGCGUGCGCAGACGGUCACGUAAGUCGGGUGUGAAAGCCCCGGGCUCAACCUGGGAAUUGCAUUCGAGACUGCGUGGCUAGGGUGCGGAAGAGGGAAGCGGAAUUUCCGGUGUAGCGGUGAAAUGCGUAGAUAUCGGAAGGAACACCAGUGGCGAAAGCGGCUUCCUGGUCCAGCACCGACGUCAGGCACGAAAGCGUGGGGAGCAAAC
Molecule: ribosomal RNA, 250 nt
Filed under: uncultured bacterium
Lineage: Bacteria
Description: partial 16S ribosomal RNA
Rfam family: Bacterial small subunit ribosomal RNA
Source: RNAcentral